This 279-nucleotide ribosomal RNA is filed under the name uncultured bacterium. RNAcentral describes it as "partial 16S ribosomal RNA". It matches the Rfam family "Bacterial small subunit ribosomal RNA", at positions 506 to 784 of the family's 1533-position model. The record is from RNAcentral.
UGCCAGCCGCCGCGGUAAUACAGAGGGUGCAAACGUUGUUCGGAAUCACUGGGCAUAAAGCGCACGUAGGCGGCUAUGCAAGUGUGGAGUGAAAGCCCACGGCUCACCCGUGGAAUUGCUUUGCAAACUGUAUGGCUCGAGGAUGGUAGGGGAGAGCGGAACUCUUGGUGGAGCGGUGAAAUGCGUAGAUAUCAAGAGGAACACCGGUGGCGAAGGCGGCUCUCUGGUCCAUUUCUGACGCUGAGGUGCGAAAGCUAGGGUAGCGAACGGGAUUAGAUA